Molecule: ribosomal RNA, 318 nt
Filed under: Petrolisthes armatus (green porcelain crab)
Lineage: Eukaryota; Metazoa; Arthropoda; Malacostraca; Decapoda; Porcellanidae
Description: eukaryotic LSU rRNA
Rfam family: Eukaryotic large subunit ribosomal RNA
Source: RNAcentral
AAGGAAAAGAAACUAACAGGGAUUCCCCGAGUAGGUGAGACUGAAACGGGAUGAGCCCAGCGCAUAAGCACGUGUCCAAACCCACAUUGGCACGGGCGAUGUUGCGUUUCAGAGCGCCUGGCACAGGACUCGCCUAAGCCUAAGUGUACACAAUUUGGAAUAUGCCACAUGCUCCCAAGGAGGGUGACAGGCCCGUACGGCGUAAGGAAUCUUGCUGGAAAGGCAGUUCCUGUCGGCAGUCCUGGAAAGGGUGUCUCUGUAGAGUCGGGUUGCUUGAAACAGCAGCCUAAAGAAGGUGGUAAACUCCUUUAAAGCUAA